RNAcentral lists this long non-coding RNA (1056 nucleotides) under Scophthalmus maximus (turbot). Its description in RNAcentral is "lncRNA (ENSSMAG00000035038.1)". The record is from RNAcentral. Lineage: Eukaryota; Metazoa; Chordata; Actinopteri; Pleuronectiformes; Scophthalmidae.
UGGUGUCUCUCUCUCUCUGUGGGAGUUGGUGUCUCUCUCUCUCUCUCUGUGGGAGUUGGUGUCUCUCUCUCUCUGUGGGAGUCGGUGUCUCUCUCUCUCUCUCUGUGGGAGUCGGUGUCUCUCUCUCUGUGUGGGAGUCGGUGUCUCUCUCUCUCUGUGGGAGUUGGUGUCUCUCUCUCUCUGUGGGAGUCGGUGUCUCUCUCUCUCUCUCUCUCUGUGGGAGUCGGUGUCUCUCUCUCGCUCUCUCUCUCUCUGUGGGAGUCGGUGUUCUCUCUCUCUCUCUCUGUGGGAGUCGGUGUCUCUCUCUCUCUGUGGGAGUCGGUGUUCUCUCUCUCUCUCUCUCUCUCUCUGUGGGAGUCGGUGUUCUCUCUCUCUCUCUCUCUCUCUCUCUGUGGGAGUCGGUGUCUCUCUCUCUCUCUCUCUCUCUCUGUGGGAGUCGGUGUCUCUCUCUCUCUCUCUCUCUGUGGGAGUCGGUGUCUCUCUCUCUCUCUCUCUCUGUGGGAGUCGGUGUCUCUCUUUCUCUCUGUGGGAGUCGGUGUUCUCUCUCUCUCUCUCUGUGGGAGUCGGUGUCUCUCUUUCUCUCUGUGGGAGUCGGUGUCUCUCUCUCUCUCUCUCUGUGGGAGUCGGUGUCUCUCUUUCUCUCUGUGGGAGUCGGUGUCUCUCUCUCUCUCUCUGUGGGAGUCGGUGUCUCUCUUUCUCUCUGUGGGAGUCGGUGUCUCUCUCUCUCUCUCUCUCUGUGGGAGUCGGUGUCUCUCUUUCUCUCUGUGGGAGUCGGUGUCUCUCUCUCUCUCUGUGGGAGUCGGUGUCUCUCUUUCUCUCUGUGGGAGUCGGUGUCUCUCUCUCUCUCUCUCUGUGGGAGUCGGUGUCUCUCUUUCUCUCUGUGGGAGUCGGUGUCUCUCUCUCUCUCUCUCUCUGUGGGAGUCGGUGUCUCUCUCUCUCUCUCUGUGGGAGUCGGUGUCUCACGCCCGCGGCUCAGCCGAUGGUCUCUGGACUCGUCAUGAAGAUUUAAAUUUCAAACUUCAGUUUCAUUCAGGAUUUUUCUUCUUCAUUGUUUGA